Molecule: ribosomal RNA, 435 nt
Filed under: uncultured bacterium
Lineage: Bacteria
Description: bacterial SSU rRNA
Rfam family: Bacterial small subunit ribosomal RNA
Source: RNAcentral
UCGAGGAUCUUCGGCAAUGGGCGCAAGCCUGACCGAGCGACGCCGCGUGUGCGAUGAAGGCCUUCGGGUUGUAAAGCACUGUCGAGGGGGAGAAAGCUCCGCAAGGGGUUGAUCUAUCCCUGGAGGAAGCACGGGCUAAGUUCGUGCCAGCAGCCGCGGUAAGACGAACCGUGCGAACGUUGUUCGGAAUCACUGGGCUUAAAGGGCGCGUAGGCGGGUCUCCAAGUCAAGGGUGAAAGCCUCCGGCUUAACCGGAGAAGUGCUUUUGAUACUGGGGAUCUCGAGGGGUGCAGGGGCAUGUGGAACUUCCGGUGGAGCGGUGAAAUGCGUAGAUAUCGGAAGGAACGCCGGUGGCGAAAGCGACGUGCUGGACACCUUCUGACGCUGAGGCGCGAAAGCCAGGGGAGCAAACGGGAUUAGAUACCCGCGUAGUCC